AUGGCACAGCCACAAAUUUUCCUUCGCCUGUAAGAGCCAAAGACAAAUGCUCGCAUUAAAUGACCUAUACUUUCAUCCUGUCCUGUUGGUAGGCUAAUCCACCAGUUACACUUAAGAACCUGAAAGCAAACUAUGGUACAAAAAUUCGCAAAUUGCAGUCAGUAGUGAUAUGCGCCCUGCUGCGCACUAAUGUUUUGGAAGGUAGCCUGGGAAGCAUUGGUGUUGUAGACACCUUGCUUAGCAGUCAGCGAAUAGGGGCUUUGCUGCAUAUUCAUUUUUUGAUAUGGGCUGUGCUGAACAUUCAUGCUUUGAUAGGUGCUCCCCUGAGCACUCACAUUCUGGCAGGAGCUUUGCUGUGCAGUCAUGUUGUUUUGGUAGGAAACUUGUUGGGAAUUCAUGUUCUGUCCAGAACAAGCCACAAAGGUUUGGAGAAAGCUUUGUGCAGCAUUCAGACACUCAGAAGAUCGACGCAAUUCAACAACAUUUUCAGGGCCACCAGUCGGAGGAUCUUGGAGCUUGACCCUUGUUCCAGCAACCUCACCAACAUUUGAAAUCCCCCCAGCCCCUAAAACAGAACUGACUCCAUUAUUUGAAAUACUAGCCUCCAGAGCACUGUUCACAUUAUAGUAUCCAAUAGCAGCCGGAGGAACUGGAUAAUUUCGAGGCUCAUAAUCCUGUCCACCAUCCCUAAGAGGCUUGUAUCCACCAGAACUACUAGCUCCCAUUAUACCAGAAGGUGGGGGCCCUCUACCUGGCAAACUUUGUGUGGGCCGAUAUUCAUGGACAGGUCCCACAGGCCCGGGUUCCACUCCAGCAUUUGCAUCUCGCAAUGUUCUAACUCUUAGUCUUGAUGCAAUCUCUGUCAAAGCAUCCUUGGCAACAGCAAUGUUUCCAGAUAUCUGUACAAGCUCUUCAUCUUCAGAUGCACACUUAGGCUUAUCAUCCUUGGAGUAAACACGAAUAUCUGCCUGGGUUCUCCUUCUCAUUUCAUUGAUAACUUGACCUCCUUGUCCAAGGAUACAGCCAACCUUAAUUGAUGGAACUAGAAGUCUUGUAGUUAUUGUGCUUUUCUCUGAGAAUUCACUUGUUUUAUUCUGAAGCUGAAGAAUUGCAUCAAUUGUUUGUGAUCUUGGGUUCCAC
This 1140-nucleotide unclassified non-coding RNA is filed under the name Hevea brasiliensis (rubber tree). Lineage: Eukaryota; Viridiplantae; Streptophyta; Magnoliopsida; Malpighiales; Euphorbiaceae. The record is from RNAcentral.